RNAcentral lists this transfer RNA (73 nucleotides) under Fusicatenibacter saccharivorans. RNAcentral's name for it is "tRNA-Gln(ctg)". It matches the Rfam family "tRNA". From Rfam's summary of the family: Transfer RNA (tRNA) molecules are approximately 80 nucleotides in length. Their secondary structure includes four short double-helical elements and three loops (D, anti-codon, and T loops). The record is from RNAcentral. Lineage: Bacteria; Bacillati; Bacillota; Clostridia; Lachnospirales; Lachnospiraceae.
UGGGCUAUCGCCAAACGGUAAGGCAACGGACUCUGACUCCGUCAGUUCCUGGUUCGAAUCCAGGUAGCCCAGC